GAUGAAGAACGUAGCGAAAUGCGAUAAGUAAUGCGAAUUGCAGAAUUCAGUGAAUCAUCGAAUCUUUGAACGCACAUUGCGCCCGCUAGUAUUCUGGCGGGCAUGCCUGUCUGAGCGUCAUUUCAACCCUCGCCCCCGGCUUUUGCUGGGAGCGGUGUUGGGGAUCGGCCGCCCGUCACUGGGAGGCCGGCCCCGAAAUAGAGUGGCGACCACGCCGUGUGCUCCUCUGCGUAGUAGAAAUCACCUCGCAGGCGGACAGCGGUGCGGCCUGCCGUAAAACCCCCAACUCUUUCUGGUUGACCUCAGAUCAGGUAGGAAUACCCGCUGAACUUAAGCAUAUCAAUAAGCGGAGGA
Molecule: unclassified non-coding RNA, 354 nt
Filed under: soil metagenome
Description: partial contains 5.8S ribosomal RNA, internal transcribed spacer 2, and large subunit ribosomal RNA
Rfam family: 5.8S ribosomal RNA (bases 1-120)
Source: RNAcentral